RNAcentral lists this ribosomal RNA (207 nucleotides) under uncultured Latescibacterota bacterium. Its description in RNAcentral is "uncultured Latescibacteria bacterium partial 16S ribosomal RNA". It matches the Rfam family "Bacterial small subunit ribosomal RNA", at positions 568 to 774 of the family's 1533-position model. The record is from RNAcentral. Lineage: Bacteria; Pseudomonadati; Candidatus Latescibacterota.
CGUGUAGGCGGUCAGGUAAGUGGAAUGUGAAAUGCCCCGGCUCACCCGGGGACCGGCAUCCCAAACUGCCUGGCUUGAGUAUGGAAGAGGAUGGAGGAAUUCCUGGUGUAGCGGUGAAAUGCGUAGAUAUCAGGAGGAACACCGGUGGCGAAGGCGUCCAUCUGGCCCAAUACUGACGCUGAGGCGCGAAAGCUAGGGGAGCAAACG